CAGUCGCCGCGGUAAUACGAAGGGUGCAAGCGUUAAUCGGAAUUACUGGGCGUAAAGCGUGCGUAGGCGGUUUGUUAAGUCUGCUGUGAAAUCCCCGGGCUCAACCUGGGAAUGGCAGUGGAUACUGGCAAGCUAGAGUGUGUCAGAGGAUGGUGGAAUUCCCGGUGUAGCGGUGAAAUGCGUAGAGAUCGGGAGGAACAUCAGUGGCGAAGGCGGCCAUCUGGGACAACACUGACGCUGAGGCACGAGAGCGUGGGGAGCAAACAGGAUUAGAUACCCCAGUAGUCCCUGUCUCUUAUAC
This 301-nucleotide ribosomal RNA is filed under the name uncultured bacterium. RNAcentral describes it as "partial 16S ribosomal RNA". It matches the Rfam family "Bacterial small subunit ribosomal RNA", at positions 509 to 807 of the family's 1533-position model. The record is from RNAcentral.